GGUCGGUUGGUGCAAUGGUAGCAUGUAGACCUCCUAUUACUCCGUACGUUGGGUCACUCCGUGUGCGGACAGUAGGUCUAGUCUAGGGUUGCGGGUUCGAGUCCCGUGCUGACCG
This is a non-coding RNA of Xylaria sp. CBS 124048, 115 nucleotides long. The record is from the annotation of a GenBank genome assembly. Lineage: Eukaryota; Fungi; Ascomycota; Sordariomycetes; Xylariales; Xylariaceae.